Molecule: ribosomal RNA, 412 nt
Filed under: uncultured microorganism
Description: bacterial SSU rRNA
Rfam family: Archaeal small subunit ribosomal RNA
Source: RNAcentral
CAGCCGCCGCGGUAAUACCAGCCCCGCGAGUGGUCGGGACGGUUAUUGGGCCUAAAGCGCCCGUAGCCGGCCCGGCAAGUCCCUCCUUAAAGCCUCGGGCCCAACCCGAGGACGGGGGGGAUACUGCCGGGCUAGGGGGCGGGAGAGGCCGAGGGUACUCCCGGGGUAGGGGCGAAAUCCGUUAAUCCCGGGAGGACCACCCGUGGCGAAGGCGCUCGGCUGGAACGCGCCCGACGGUGAGGGGCGAAAGCCGGGGGAGCGAACCGGAUUAGAUACCCGGGUAGUCCCGGCUGUAAACGAUGCGGGCUAGCUGUGGGGUGGGCUUAGAGCCCACCCAGUGGCGCAGGGAAGCCGUUAAGCCCGCCGCCUGGGGAGUACGGCCGCAAGGCUGAAACUUAAAGGAAUUGGCGGG